AGCUUUGCGCAUUGGCAAUAUCGUAGCCAAUGAGGUGUACCCGAGGCGCAAUUAUUGCUAAUUGAAGGGGAAAAAAAGAAGUAAUGUAUAUGUAUAUCUCCUGAAUUUUACAUGGUUUUUAAAAAA
Molecule: small nuclear RNA, 126 nt
Filed under: Echinops telfairi (small Madagascar hedgehog)
Lineage: Eukaryota; Metazoa; Chordata; Mammalia; Afrosoricida; Tenrecidae
Description: U4 spliceosomal RNA (ENSETEG00000024809.1)
Rfam family: U4 spliceosomal RNA
About the family: U4 small nuclear RNA (U4 snRNA) is a component of the major U2-dependent spliceosome.
Source: RNAcentral